Molecule: transfer RNA, 67 nt
Filed under: Artena dotata
Lineage: Eukaryota; Metazoa; Arthropoda; Insecta; Lepidoptera; Erebidae
Description: tRNA-Cys
Source: RNAcentral
AGCCUUAUAUUCAAGAAUGAUAUAAAAUUGCAAAUUUUAAGGAGUAAAUAAUAUUAUACUAAGGCUU